GGAUGUGAGGGUGAUCUGGCUGCGACAUCUGUCACCCCAUUGAUCGCCAGGGUUGAUUUGGCUGAUCUGGCUGGCUAGGCGGGUGUCCCCUUCCUCCCUCACCGCUCCAUGUGCGUCCCUCCCAAAGCUGGGCGCUCGGUCAACGAGGACGACCUUCCCCGAUAGAGGAAGACCAUUCCUUGGUCAAGGGUAUACUGUUAGAGCCGGUUCCCCUCGGCCCCGGGAACAGAAAGACAGAGUCACUGAGGCUGCAAAGGCAAAGGAGUUUUAUUUU
This 274-nucleotide small RNA is filed under the name Prolemur simus (greater bamboo lemur). Its description in RNAcentral is "7SK RNA (ENSPSMG00000002093.1)". The stretch from base 1 to 200 matches the Rfam family "7SK RNA". From Rfam's summary of the family: 7SK was discovered as an abundant small nuclear RNA in the mid-70s but a possible function has only recently been suggested. Two independent studies have found that 7SK RNA binds the CDK9/cyclin T complex (known as elongation factor P-TEFb). P-TEFb activates transcription by phosphorylating the C-terminal domain of RNA polymerase II. The record is from RNAcentral. Lineage: Eukaryota; Metazoa; Chordata; Mammalia; Primates; Lemuridae.